Nicotiana tabacum (common tobacco) is the source of this 616-nucleotide long non-coding RNA. RefSeq lists it as uncharacterized. The record is from RefSeq and is a predicted model, not a curated record. Lineage: Eukaryota; Viridiplantae; Streptophyta; Magnoliopsida; Solanales; Solanaceae.
GCUUUUUUUUGGACACUUUAUAUAAAGAAACGAUUUCCCUUACUCUCACGGAUAUUUGAGCAUCAUUCUAUGCAUAACACUUCUGAAAAACCAGAUUUCUAAUAACCUGAAAGAAUACCCAAAGUUUUUCACUUUUAAAAUUUCCUAGGUUUCUUGUCUAGAAGAUGGAUUGAGUUUUGAUGUUGUGAUAUUGCUGCUCGUGUGUUAGGUUUUUUGCACUGUCAAGGCUGGUUUUUGCCUAAGUGGUUGUGUGUUUGAUUAGCUGAGAUAUUUCUACAUUGGCCAUUUGACCUUUAUUUGGUCUUUUCUCGCCAAAAAUCAAACAAUCUCAAAGCUGGAAGUUUGAAGUAUCUACUUGUGAGGAACAGCUCCAUAGCUAAAUCCUUGCAAGUUGGCACCCUGUUUGAAGGACCUGGAGGCAGAAGAAAACCAGAAAUUAAGGGAAAAGAUUUUCCUUUUGAUUAUUUUUUUUUAGUUUUCUCUUGGACAUUAGCAUGAUAAAUUGUUGAAAUGAUAGACUAUUAGUUAUUUUGUACAUUCAUGGACUUUCAGCUGUGUAAAGGGACUGUUAUAAUUUUUUAUUUUUUUUAUAAAUUUAGUUUUUUCGUUGAUUUUA